Molecule: long non-coding RNA, 1984 nt
Organism: Arabidopsis thaliana (thale cress)
Lineage: Eukaryota; Viridiplantae; Streptophyta; Magnoliopsida; Brassicales; Brassicaceae
Product: other RNA
Exons: 1
Source: RefSeq
ACCGAAAUGGGUUAUGUGUUCAAAUCUGUUACAACAAAUUCCCAAAAAUUACUCAAAUCAAUUAAAAAACAAGAAAUCAAAAGAUCAUCAUCAACCAGAAAAAAAGAUCAUCUAGCGGCGGCUUUUUUGUCGCCGGAGUAAUAACUCAAAUACCAUCUGACAAACUUCUUCAAACCGGUUUGCAAAUCCGUAGUCGGUUUAUAACCAAGCUCACGUUGAGCUAAACUAAUAUUAGCAUGAGUAAACGGAACGUCACCGUUUCGUGGCAUCUUAAUCAAAUUCUUCUUCGCCUUCACUUUCAAUUGUCUCUCCAAUAUCCUCACCAGAUCUGAAACCGGCACCGGCGACGUGUUUCCGAGGUUAAACACUCUCAAUUGCGCCGGACCUCUCUUCUUCCCUCCACUCCCUGUACUCUUCUCCGCCGUAUCUAGCGCCGCUAAACAUCCCUUCACUAUAUCGUCUAUGUAAGUGAAAUCCCUAGCCACCGUUCCGUGAUUCGCCGAUUCGAAUAUCGAAAUCGAUUUGCCUUUUAGAAUAUCUUUAGUGAAGAAGAAAUACGCCAUGUCUGGUCUUCCCCAAGGUCCAUACACGGUGAAAAAUCUUAAUCCGGUUAGAGAUAAUCCAUAGAUGUGGUUGUAGGUAUGUGCGAUCUCUUCGCCGGCUUUUUUAGUGGCGGCGUAUAAACUCGCCGGUUGAUCUGUUUUAUCUUUCUCCGAGAACGGAACUUUGGUGUUGAGUCCGUAGACGGAGCUAGACGAAGCCCAGACUAUAGCAGGUUGUGGAUUCACAGAUUUGCAGAUCUCGAGGAGAUUGACGAAUCCGGCGAUGUUGCUAUGAACGUACGAGCUAGGGUUUUCCAUUGCGUACCGUACACCAGCUUGAGCUGCUAAAUGCAUAACGUGUGUGAAGGAGACGAUCUUGAAUAGCUUACGGAGUAAUUCGACGUCGUUUAUGUCUCCUUCUACGAUGAAGAUCCCACUUCUCUCGAGUAAAGCUCGUCUUGCUCGUUUCAGAGAUGGAUCGUAGUAAUCGUUGAAGUUGUCGAGGCCGAUUACGCCGUCUCCGCGGCGUUUUAAUGCGGCGGAGACGUGUGUUCCGACGAAACCAGCUGCUCCGGUUACUAAAACUGUGAUUCCGUUGUUUGUUGAGGUUCGGAUUCGAGCUGAGGAUCUGAGACGUUUUUCCCAAGCUGGUCCUCCGUAGGUGUUGGUUCGGAGUGAACGGCGAGAUGGAUCGGACGGUGAAGAAGGGUUAAUGGACGGUGGAGAUCGGAGGAAGAGUAGAGAGAUGAGACAGAGGAGGAAGAAGGAGAAAAAUGCAAACUUUGUGAGAGAAGAUUGGAAUCUGAGACGAUGCAAGUAGGAAGAUUUCUCCAUCUUGAAUUUGCCUGGGCUUGAAGGUAUGUCGUCAAGACGUGACAUUUUCUCUUCUUCUUCUUCUUCUUUGGACUCUCUUCCUUUAUUAGUUUUAAUGGCAGCUUCUUAGAAUCUUCAGGUUUCUUGGAGGGGAUUAAAUUAAAACACAAAGGUUUCUUUAUUAUGACUCCAACAUGAGAAACACGAAUAUUAUCUUUUUAAUAAAAUAUAUUCGAGGAUCAAAGUUUGGUUUAUAAUAGGGUAUAUGAUAAAGAGAGUGUUGUGAUUUUUUAAAUUAGAACAUGGGGAUUGAAGAUUUUAGAGAUCCAAAUCAUAGGGAAAAUAUGAAGAAGAAGAAGAAGAAGAAGAAGAAGAAGAAGAAGAAGAAGAAGAAGAAGAGAGUCAAAAAAAUUACUGUAAAAAUUUGUUGACUCUUCUAAAGAUUUGUUGUCGAGUCUUGAAAUUUGAUUGGUGAGAUACUAAUACUCCAAGAUUUUCGGGAAGCCACUCGUCCCAAAAGUUUUGAAUUUGAACCAAAGUUUUAAACUUUUGUUAAUAGAUUUGUUUUGCGGAUAGUUGCUAAAUACAAAAAUGGACUCUAAAUUUGAAUAGAGGUUGUUGUCUUGUUG